RNAcentral lists this ribosomal RNA (440 nucleotides) under uncultured bacterium. RNAcentral's name for it is "partial 16S ribosomal RNA". It matches the Rfam family "Bacterial small subunit ribosomal RNA", at positions 338 to 795 of the family's 1533-position model. The record is from RNAcentral.
CCUACGUGAGGCUGCAGUGGGGAAUAUUGCACAAUGGGGGAAACCCUGAUGCAGCGACGCCGCGUGAGUGAAGAAGUAAUUCGUUAUGUACAGCUCUAUCAGCAGGGAAGAAAAUGACGGUACCUGAGUAAGAAGCCCCGGCUAACUACGUGCCAGCAGCCGCGGUAAUACGUAGGGGGCAAGCGUUAUCCGGAUUUACUGGGUGUAAAGGGAGCGUAGACGGCAGUGCAAGUCUGGAGUGAAAGGCGGGGGCUCAACCCCCGGACUGCUCUUGAAACUGUACGGCUGGAGUGCAGGAGAGGUAAGUGGAAUUCCUAGUGUAGCGGUGAAAUGCGUAGAUAUGAGGAGGAACACCAGUGGCGAAGGCGGCUUACUGGACUGUAACUGACGUUGAGGCUCGAAAGCGUGGGGAGCAAACAGGAUUAGAUACCCGGGUAGUC